GUAGCUAUAAUUUAAUCGGUAAAAUACCCGUAUGUGGCAUGGUUUAUCUGAGUUCAAUUCUCAGUAGUUACC
This 72-nucleotide transfer RNA is filed under the name Candida viswanathii. RNAcentral describes it as "tRNA-His". It matches the Rfam family "tRNA". From Rfam's summary of the family: Transfer RNA (tRNA) molecules are approximately 80 nucleotides in length. Their secondary structure includes four short double-helical elements and three loops (D, anti-codon, and T loops). The record is from RNAcentral. Lineage: Eukaryota; Fungi; Ascomycota; Pichiomycetes; Serinales; Debaryomycetaceae.